ACGAACGCUGGCGGCAUGCCUAACACAUGCAAGUCGAACGAGACCUUCGGGUCUAGUGGCGCACGGGUGCGUAACGCGUGGGAACCUGCCCUUAGGUUCGGAAUAACUCCCCGAAAGGGGUGCUAAUACCGGAUAAUGUCUUCGGACCAAAGAUUUAUCGCCUUUGGAUGGGCCCGCGUUGGAUUAGCUAGUUGGUAGGGUAAAAGCCUACCAAGGCGACGAUCCAUAGCUGGUCUGAGAGGAUGAUCAGCCACACUGGGACUGAGACACGGCUCAGACUCCUACGGGAGGCAGCAGUGGGGAAUAUUGGACAAUGGGCGAAAGCCUGAUCCAGCAAUGCCGCGUGAGUGAUGAAGGCCUUAGGGUUGUAAAGCUCUUUUACCCGGGAUGAUAAUGACAGUACCGGGAGAAUAAGCUCCGGCUAACUCCGUG
RNAcentral lists this ribosomal RNA (432 nucleotides) under uncultured bacterium. RNAcentral's name for it is "partial 16S ribosomal RNA". It matches the Rfam family "Bacterial small subunit ribosomal RNA", at positions 29 to 507 of the family's 1533-position model. The record is from RNAcentral.